Molecule: ribosomal RNA, 515 nt
Filed under: uncultured bacterium
Lineage: Bacteria
Description: bacterial SSU rRNA
Rfam family: Bacterial small subunit ribosomal RNA
Source: RNAcentral
CUGGCUCAGGAUGAACGCUAGCUACAGGCUUAACACAUGCAAGUCGAGGGGCAGCAUGGUCUUAGCUUGCUAAGGCUGAUGGCGACCGGCGCACGGGUGAGUAACGCGUAUCCAACCUUCCCCAUAGUAGGGGAUAGCCCGGCGAAAGUCGGAUUAAUACCCUAUGUUAUUCGAUGCAGACAUCUAAGUUGAAUCAAAGGUUUACCGCUAUGGGAUGGGGAUGCGUCUGAUUAGGUUGCAGGCGGGGUAACGGCCCACCUGGCCUACGAUCAGUAGGGUUCUGAGAGGAACGGUCCCCCACAUUGGAACUGAGACACGGUCCAAACUCCUACGGGAGGCAGCAGUGAGGAAUAUUGGUCAAUGGACGAGAGUCUGAACCAGCCAAGUAGCGUGCAGGACGACCGGCCCUAGUGGGUUAGUAAACUGUCUUUUAUGGCGGGGAUAAAGUGAGGGACGUGUCCCUUUUUGUAGGUACCGCAUGAAUAAGGACCGGCUAAUUCCGUGCCAGCAGCUGC